AUUCUCCAUCUGCAUAGUUUCAAAAUAAUAUUUUUAAAAAUAAAAAUUCUGUUUUUAUUUCCCUUCAGGUGUUGUACCAGUACCCCAGAUGCAGUAUGUAUAAAACAAAAUGACCUUUUUUCGCUCAUAUCAUCUCAACUUGCCAAUUUCUCUACCACUGUAAAGUGCCACUCUUUUUCCAGUUACGUUGAAAAUCACAGGUCCUUUACAUCGUUGAAAGCAAACAAGCAUCUAUUGCUAGGAAUUUAAUCAGAAUGGAACCUACCAACAGAGGGAGAAGCAAUUAUUUCUGCGACCAGGCAACUCUAGCUCAUCACCUCCAACAAAGAGAAACUUCAGCUCAAACCCAAAGCUUCAGCCAGAAGACAUUCAUAGAAACCUGCUGUGGCCGACUGCUUCUGCAGAUGUUCAUUCUGGACUUCAAGGCCAUACUUCUGCUGGCACUGAUUUUGAAAUUUGGCUCUGAGACUUAAAUC
RNAcentral lists this long non-coding RNA (476 nucleotides) under Felis catus (domestic cat). Its description in RNAcentral is "lncRNA (ENSFCAG00000045254.2)". Lineage: Eukaryota; Metazoa; Chordata; Mammalia; Carnivora; Felidae. The record is from RNAcentral.